GUUACCGCAGCACAACCAGGCCAUGCACAAGACCUAAACCCUUGCAAUUGGGGGUUCAAAUCCCCCCGCUAACU
RNAcentral lists this transfer RNA (74 nucleotides) under Crinia signifera. RNAcentral describes it as "tRNA-Leu". It matches the Rfam family "tRNA". From Rfam's summary of the family: Transfer RNA (tRNA) molecules are approximately 80 nucleotides in length. Their secondary structure includes four short double-helical elements and three loops (D, anti-codon, and T loops). Lineage: Eukaryota; Metazoa; Chordata; Amphibia; Anura; Myobatrachidae. The record is from RNAcentral.